Molecule: ribosomal RNA, 253 nt
Filed under: uncultured bacterium
Lineage: Bacteria
Description: partial 16S ribosomal RNA
Rfam family: Bacterial small subunit ribosomal RNA
Source: RNAcentral
GACAGAGGGUGCAAACGUUGUUCGGAAUUACUGGGCGUAAAGCGCGUGUAGGCGGUUCGUAAAGUCGGAUGUGAAAGCCCUGGGCUUAACCCAGGAGGUGCAUUCGAAACUCACGAACUUGAGUCCCGGAGAGGAAGGCGGAAUUCUCGGUGUAGAGGUGAAAUUCGUAGAUAUCGAGAGGAACAUCUGUGGCGAAGGCGGCCUUCUGGACGGUGACUGACGCUGAGACGCGAAAGCGUGGGGAGCAAACAGG